GAUGAAGAACGCAGCGAAAUGCGAUAAGUAAUGUGAAUUGCAGAAUUCAGUGAAUCAUCGAAUCUUUGAACGCACAUUGCGCCCCCUGGUAUUCCGGGGGGCAUGCCUGUCCGAGCGUCAUUACAACCCUCAAGCUCAGCUUGGUGUUGGGCCCCGCCGCCCCGGCGGGCCCUAAAGUCAGUGGCGGUGCCGUCCGGCUCCGAGCGUAGUAAUUCUUCUCGCUCUGGAGGUCCGGUCGUGCGCUCGCCAGCAACCCCCAAUUUUUUCAGGUUGACCUCGGAUCAGGUAGGGAUACCCGCUGAACUUAAGCAUAUCAAUAAGCGGAGGA
RNAcentral lists this unclassified non-coding RNA (328 nucleotides) under soil metagenome. Its description in RNAcentral is "partial contains 5.8S ribosomal RNA, internal transcribed spacer 2, and large subunit ribosomal RNA". The stretch from base 1 to 120 matches the Rfam family "5.8S ribosomal RNA", at positions 35 to 154 of the family's 154-position model. The record is from RNAcentral.